RNAcentral lists this ribosomal RNA (400 nucleotides) under uncultured bacterium. RNAcentral's name for it is "bacterial SSU rRNA". It matches the Rfam family "Bacterial small subunit ribosomal RNA", at positions 954 to 1354 of the family's 1533-position model. The record is from RNAcentral.
GGGGAACGGGAAGAACCUUACCUGGGUUUGACAUGCAGAAAACAUCCGGAGAAAGCCGGUCUCCUUAGGGGCCUCGCACAGGGGGUGCAAGGCCGUUGUCAACCUGUUUCGUUAAAAGUUGGGUUAAGUCCCCCAAAGAGGGCCACCCUUGUUCCUAGGUUCCCACCGGGUCAACCGGGGCCUUUUGGGAGACCUGCGGGGGCUAAUCGGGAGGAAGUGGGGGAUGAGUUCAAUUCUCCAGGGCCUUACGUCCAGGGGUGCCAACAUGCUACCAUGGGCGGUACAAAGGGGUGCCAUACCGCGAGGGGGAGCGAAUCCCAAAAAGCCGGUCUCAGUUCGGAUUGGCGUCUGCAACUUGACCCCAUGAAGUCGGAAUCGCUAGUAAUCCGGGAUCCGGGCA